Molecule: ribosomal RNA, 303 nt
Filed under: uncultured Methanohalophilus sp.
Lineage: Archaea; Methanobacteriati; Methanobacteriota; Methanomicrobia; Methanosarcinales; Methanosarcinaceae
Description: bacterial SSU rRNA
Rfam family: Archaeal small subunit ribosomal RNA
Source: RNAcentral
GCUGGAAUGCUUUGUGAUUUAAAGAUCCGUCGCCUAAGGAUGGGUCUGCGGCCUAUCAGGUUGUAGUGGGUCUAGAGUACCUACUAGCCAACGACGGGUACGGGUUGUGAGAGCAAGAGCCCGGAGAUGGAUUCUGAGACAUUAAUCCAGGCCCUACGGGGCGCAGCAGGCGCGAAACCUUUACACUGCGGGAAACCGCGAUAAGGGGACACCGAGUGCCAGCAUACAAUGCUGGCUGUCCACAUGUGUAAAUAGCAUGUGAUAGCAAGGGCCGGGCAAGACCGGUGCCAGCCGCCGCGGUAA